Long non-coding RNA from Aotus nancymaae (Ma's night monkey), 3620 nucleotides. Lineage: Eukaryota; Metazoa; Chordata; Mammalia; Primates; Aotidae. The record is from Ensembl.
AGGUGGGGAUCCGGCGUUGGGAGUUGCUGCUGGAAGUCGGCGCGGGUUAGCGGUCACACGCAGCAAGCGCGGGCGGCGGCCGGGCGCAAAGUUGCGAGGAGAGUCCCUAGUCUAAGCCUUUCUGUCGCCCUCCGGCACCGCUAGUACCACGGACUCCACCUUGCCGCGGCCCCUCGGCGACGCGAUGCAGCUGCCACUCGACCAGCUGGGUUCAGAUUCUCCAACCUUCCUGUGGAGCCACACCACCUGCUGUCUUGGCACUUCAUGAGUCCAGUGCUGCUUCCCGAGAGGAUCUGGUUCGUAGACCAUGACCUUGAUUCCUGCCUCCAAGCCUAGCUUUAUUCUCAGCAGCCACCACCUUUUUGGUACUAGAACAGUGCUUUUUCUAGUACAUUCAUAAGUGGAUGCUGAAAUCACAACCUGGCCAUUUGGAUGUUCAACUAAUGCUUUAUGCCGCAGAGUCCCUGGAACUCACCAACCCAUGCUGGAACUCAGCAGAGCUCAGGUGGCAGGUACGUGGCUUGCGCUGUGCUUGUGGAUUUGGAGCGAGGCACCAUGGACUCCAUGCGCUUGGGGCCCUUAGGGCAGAUCUUCAGGCCAGACAACUUCAUCUUUGGUGAGCUGUGGAUGAGGACUGUGGUGCGGCUCCUUAGCCAGGGCAGUUCAAAGUCAAUGAGUGACUCAAGGUCUUCUCUGUGGGAACUGUGAACUGGGGACCCUGAACACCCUCCCAUCCUCUGAGUCACUCAGUCUCCCUUUCCUAACCGGGCUUUGGGGGAGGAAGGCCCAGCUGUCUCCUCAACUUGAGGAGCUGAUGUAAUCUGCCUGCAAGGAGCUGAUUUGGGGCCAUGACUACAGCCUUCCCAUUGCCUGGGAAUGGGCAGGAGCUACCUGCAGCGAGUCUGCUGUUGGCUGUCUCAGGAUUGGCUCCUGAUCUAGAUUCUAACAAGCAAGGCUGCUGUCCUGUAACUUAGGGGGAGGGGGUCAGUUUCUUUAACUAUCUGUUAAAACAUGUUUUUGAGAUCAUUGGAGCAAUUCAAUCACAUAGUGAGUAUUAGGUGACCUUAAAUGCUUAUUUAAAAAUUUUGUUGGCAUCAUGGCUAUAUAAAAUGACCAUAUUACUUUUAGAAACACAUACUAAAGUAUAUAGAUAUUCAAUGAUUCAAUUUUAGGUUUAGUUUUAAAAUAUGACAACAAAAAGGCAAAAAAGAUAGGUGCAGCAAGGGAUCAAGCAAACCUUGAUACAUGCUGAAUAUGGAUGAUGAGUAUUUGUGGGCUUACUGAAUUAUUUCUCUACUUAUUUGCAAAAACUUACAAGUAAAAUAUGAAAAAAUGCUUUCAAAGAAUAUUUAAUCACAUGGAAAAAUUACCUUGGCAUGAGAAGUUAUAUAUAUGGGUCUGAUUUUAUUAUUUUCUCUAGGUAGUAACACUAUAAAUGAUUUUUCCUUUAACCAUGUCUAUAUAUUUAUAUUUUCUAAUAUAAAAAAUAUUUGUAAUUAUAAAAAAUAUAUAUAAUUGUAAAAGAAAUAUUUAUAAAACCAUGUGUUAUCCCUGAACUAACCUGACACAGCUUUUACAUCUUUGUCUGAUGUGCCACACCUUUGAUUAUUUUAGCUAACAUUAACUUGUCACCUUCCCAUUAACAGAGCUGUCAGAAACUUCACCUUUGGUAUUAUCUACUCCAGUAUUUUAACAUGUCUGAUUAUCAUCAUUAUUAAUAAUUACAAUUCUGUAAAAUUUGAACAUUUUAAGUCACAACACUAUUCCUUCAGCAAACAUUUACUCCGAGUCUAGUAUGUGUCAGGCACUGUUCCAGGCACUGGGGCAUAGAACAUAAAUGAAUACAGUCCCAGCUGUAAUAGAGAUUAGAAUUUCAGGCAAAUAAAGAAACGAAAAGAGGGCAUAAUCUCAGAGGUGUCACUAGCAAUGCCACCUCAUGAAACAAAGACAAAUAUGACAGUUUUAGGCCUACAAAAUAUUUGAUUACCAGAUGAAAUCAUAUGAAAUGCCACAAUACUCAACAAUUUGACCUAGAAAAUGGCAUUUUCAUAUGUUUCAACUUUAUUUUCUCAGGUUUGUAUUUUAGAGACAAGACAGACGUUUGAGAGUAUUUAUUUAAUUCUCCUCUUUCACAAAUCAUAAAACUAUGGGCCAAAAAAAAAAAAAAAAUGGUCUUACCCAAGUCAAAAAGCUAGUGAAUCAGAGAAAGUAGAAAACGGAUACUGCACACAAAUUCAAUUAAGGGUUCUCUAUCUUUAGUUAUUGGUAAUAUAAAGGAAGACUUAGAUUCAGAUUUUAAAAAUCAAAUAUAAUAGAAUUGCCGUAACUUACAAAACCUAUCAGCUUUCUCCAAAUUUUCAUGAAUACAGUUAACAGUCUGACUCUUAGAUUCAAUGCUCAAAGCUAGGGAAAAAGAAAUUGAACAAAAACAUAAUGUGUGUGUUAUAAGAUGCUAAAGACGUUUUGAAAUGCUGUGAGUGUGACCGUCUUCUACUUGCUUACAGUGUGUAUAAAUCACAAACGGAAAGAAAAAGCAAGAGCCAUAGAAAUCCCAUUGAUUAAGAUCACAGUUUAAAUGCUGUUCUUUCAGUAGUUGCACGCACAAUGACUCAAAACUUUGAAAUUUAUAAAUACAUUUAGAUACAAAGAUAGAGCCAUCCUAAUACGAAUCACUAUAUUGUGUGGUAUAGAUUAUUAUAGCCUGUUUAUGUGAGAAGGAAGGGAAAUUGGUGAACAGCUAGCCAGACUGUCAUUUUUUGUGAAACAAGCUAUCAGAUAUAGCUAUAUCUGAUUAUUUUAAUUUUUCAAAUAUGCUAUCUAAUGUUUAAUAAUAUUAACAUAAUUAAUUUUAAUGAGUAAACUUGGCUUUUCUCAACAAAUCCUCUUUCCUUUAGCAAAUCCUAAGACCUUUCCACUAUUCAAAAUGUUUUUCAAGUUUCCUUUUUAUUGGAUAACUAACUAGCUAAUCAACUGAUUAAUUCCACUAUUAUGAAAUAGCAAGUGUGAAGUAAGCAUGUGGGUGGGAUGUUGACAAUGGAAAGGUGAAUAAGAGGCUAGAUCCCUGCUUCCUGCAGGUCCACAGAGAGCUUGGGCUACAUGAUAAUAUUGUUUGCAAUGUACUGGUUCUCAUUCCCAUUAGAAAGGUAAUAAGCUAGGCAGAUGCUAAUGCCUAUAUUAAAAAGGGUUACUUCAUUCAUCUUUGAAGUAUUAUCCUUCAGUGAUACAUAUGAUUAAUAACAUUAACUCAUGUUAUGAAUAAGUAAUCAAGGAACUAUUUUAAAAAGCCGCAAAAUCAGCAGAAUAGAGGCUAUCUUAAAAACCAGUUCAUGCCUAAAAGAUUGGCAUUUAGGAAUGUUUAUAGGCUUGAAUAAAUUAAGUUUCUUUUAAACUAAGGCUAGAGCCUUCUGAUUGCUAAAAUGUGGUGUUCCUUCUAGCACAUUAUGUCAUAUGACUUUCAUUUUCUGUUUCUAAUGUGUGUUUAUUUAGAAAAUAAACUUUUAAAAACUAAUUUAAAUUAAAUUAUUUGAUUAAUUUUAGAAUUCUGUAAAUGCUAAUUGUAGGCCAUCAGGAAAAUGCAAACUGAAUGAAAAGAUAAUAAACAAAAUAAACUUGUGUGUUAA